AGUACGUGUGUGGUCUGUAUUAAGCCCUGCGAAACAAAUAUCAACUACUUCUAUUCCAUAAACCAUGUGUUUGUAUCAUCAUUCUCUCGAUUAACCAUCACGAGAAAAGGUAUAAGAAAAUGGAGUGUUGUUAUUCCUUCAAACAAUCAUCGCCAUACCCUUCUUCCUUUAUCCUUAAUCUUCAGGGUUCUUCAUCAUCUAUUGUUGGCAAAUUAUCCAGACAUUCUCCUUGUUUGUUGUCUUCUCCACUUUCUAAACCUUUUCUUCAGAUUAAUGAUAGAUUGCAGUAUCAAAAAAAGUCAACUUUUUUCACUUGGAAAACAUAUAGAGGGCCCGUAGUAGCAGAAACUGGAAGGCAAGGUUGGGACUUUGGCAGAUUUAUUAAAACAUUAUAUUUCUUCAAUGGACCUCCAUCUCCUGCUAAGUUUUUUGAGCUUCUAGUUGGGAGACUAUCCAGUCAAUCCUCUAGUGAACCAAAAAGUGCGAUGGACAGUUCUGGCAUUGUCCUGGUAGUUGGAGCUACAGGUGGUGUUGGCAAAAGAAUAGUUGAUAUCUUACGAAAGAAAGGACAGCAAGUACGAGUACUGGUCAGAAAUGAAGAGAAGGCAAGAAAGAUGUUGGGCUCAGAUAUUGACUUGAUAGUUGGAGAUAUCACUAAGGAAAGCACAUUGGUCCCUGAGUAUUUCAAAGGGGUCAAGAAAGUUUUUAAUGCUGCUUCUGUCAUUGUUGGUCCCAAGGAAGGUGAUACUCCUGAAAGGGCAAAAUACAGCCAAGGAAUCAAGUUCUUUGAACCAGAGAUCAAAGGGGAUUCACCUGAAAUGGUGGAGUAUGUUGGGAUGGAGAAUUUGAUUAACGCUGUUAAGGGAAGUGUUGGACUUCGAGGCGGGAAACUGUUAUUUGGAUGUGAAGACAAUAGUUUUAAAGAUCUACCUUGGGGUGCUUUAGAUGAUGUUGUAAUGGGAGGUGUUAGUGAAAGUAAUUUUCAAAUUGACACAAAUGGAGGAGAAAAUGGUGGACCAACUGGGAUUUUCAGAGGUGUUGUUUCCACUGCAAAUAAUGGUGGCUUCACUAGUAUCAGAACUAGGAAUUUUUCAACACCUGAGGACCUUUCUGCAUAUGAUGGUUUGGAACUGUGCCUUAAAGGUGAUGGUCGAAGGUAUAAACUUAUUGUUCGUACCAGCAGUGAUUGGGACACUGUUGGUUAUACAGCAAGCUUUGACACUGUUGAAGGAUGGCAAUCAAUACGCCUGCCAUUUUCUUCUUUGAGGCCAAUUUUUCGAGCUCGGACUGUUUCAGAUGCUCCUCCAUUUGAUCAAAGCAAUAUUGUAUCACUGCAGCUCAUGUUCAGCAAGUUUGAGUAUGAUGGAAAGCUGAAUCCAACUUUUGUGGAGGGUCCAUUUCAGCUUCCAUUAUCAAGCAUCAGGGCCUAUAUAAAUGAUCCUAUAACUCCCAGGUUUGUGCAUGUGAGCUCUGCAGGCGUAACCCGACCUGAUAGGCCGGGCCUUGAUCUCAGUAAACAACCUCCUGCUGUACGCUUGAACAAGGAAUUGGGUUUUAUCCUAACUUUCAAGUUGAAGGGAGAAGACUUGAUACGUGAAAGUGGCAUGCCAUAUGCAAUUGUCAGGCCUUGUGCUUUAACUGAGGAGCCUGCUGGAGCAGAUCUCAUUUUUGACCAAGGAGAUAAUAUAACAGGUAAAAUAUCAAGGGAAGAGGUUGCUCGAAUAUGCGUUGCUGCUGCAGAAAGCCCAUAUGCAUGUGACAAGACAUUUGAGGUUAAAAGUGUGAUUCCAUUUAGUGAACCAUUCACAGUGGACCCUGAAAACCCACCUCCAGAGAAGGAUUACAACGAGUAUUUUAAAACUUUGAAGGAUGGCAUUACAGGGAAAGAAUACCUAGAACGUAGUCCUGUUCCAGUCUAAUGCCCACAUAUAACAGAUAUAUGAUUCAAGAAGAAAAGACGUUGAUGCUGAAUAAAAUUCUGAUUGUGAAUUAUUUGACGAACCGGCAAAAAUCUUGGGUGGCAGCCUUUGCAAUGGUGAUCAAUGGAAAAAAAUCAUACCCCUACAAUUACAAAACAGGCUUGUAGAGAAAUCAUUAGACUGCUUAGCAAGAAAGAGAUACCAGGGAAGCAAUUAGUGAUCGAUGUUGGAUUGUAAAGAUAAAUGACUGCUCAGAAACUCAGCUUUUGUAUAUUUUAAAGCUGUACAUAUACAAAAUUUCUUGUCCCAUUUCAUCUGAUAAUUUGAAAUCUUGAAUUUUAUUUUCUC
This is an RNA transcript of Manihot esculenta (cassava), 2267 nucleotides long. It is a transcript of the gene named protein HIGH CHLOROPHYLL FLUORESCENCE PHENOTYPE 173, chloroplastic, with no coding region annotated. The record is from RefSeq and is a predicted model, not a curated record. Lineage: Eukaryota; Viridiplantae; Streptophyta; Magnoliopsida; Malpighiales; Euphorbiaceae. The transcript has 19 exons.